AGUGGAUGGGGAGCAACCUAUGUUGUGCGUGUGUAAAGGUAGUGCCAAGAAAAGCGAUGAUCAUGUUGAAAAUCAAUUCCCGGUACCCGAAACCGACACAGGUGGGUAGGUAGAGUAUACUAAGGGGCGCGAGAUAACUCUCUCUAAGGAACUCGGCAAAAUGACUCCGUAACUUCGGGAGAAGGAGUGCCUUAUUUAUAAGGUUGCAAUAACAAGAUCCAAGCAACUGUUUAUCAAAAACACAGGUCUCCGCUAAGUCGUAAGACGAUGUAUGGGGGCUGACGCCUGCCCAGUGCCAGAAGGUUAAAGAAGUUGGUUAGUGUAUGCGAAGCUGAUGACUGAAGCCCUGGUGAACGGCGGCCGUAACGAUAACGGUCCUAAGGUAGCGAAAUUCCUUGUCGGGUAAGUUCCGACCCGCACGAAAGGCGUAAUGAUUUGGAUACUGUCUCGGAGAGAGGCUCGGUGAAAUAGACUUGUCUGUGAAGAUGCGGACUACCUGCACCAGGACAGAAAGACCCUAUGAAGCUUUACUGUAACUUGAAAUUGGAAUUGGACUUUGCUUGCGCAGUAUAGGUGGGAAGCGUUGAAGAUAUUCUUGCGGGAGUAUUGGAGCUAUCAGUGAGAUACCACUCUUGUAAUGUUAGAUUUCUAACUUUGAACCAUAAUCUGGUCAAAGAACAGUUUCAGGUGGGCAGUUUGACUGGGGCGGUCGCCUCCCAAAUGGUAACGGAGGCGUACAAAGGUUUCCUCUGAACGGAUAGAAAUCGUAUCUAGAGUGUAAAGGCAUAAGGAAGCUUGACUGUGAGACCUACAAGUCGAGCAGGGACGAAAGUCGGUCUUAGUGAUCUGACGGUACUGAGUGGAAAGGCCGUCACUCAACGGAUAAAAGUUACUCUAAGGAUAACAGGCUGAUCUCCCCCAAGAGUUCACAUCGACGGGGAGGUUUGGCACCUCGAUGUCGGCUCAUCGCAUCCUGGGGCGGUAGUACGUCCCAAGGGUUGGGCUGUUCGCCCAUGAAAGCGGUACGCGAGCUGGGUUCAGAACGUCGUGAGACAGUUCGGUCCAUAUCCGGUGUAGGCGUUAGAAUAUUGAGAGGAGCCUUCUUUAGUACGAGAGGACCGAGAAGGACACACCGCUGGUGUACCAGUUAUCGUGCCAACGGUAAACGCUGGGUAGCUAUGUGUGGAGUGGAUAACCGCUGAAAGCAUCUAAGUGGGAAGCCCACCUCAAGAUGAGUAUUCUCAUC
This 1246-nucleotide ribosomal RNA is filed under the name metagenome. RNAcentral describes it as "bacterial LSU rRNA". It matches the Rfam family "Bacterial large subunit ribosomal RNA", at positions 1561 to 2818 of the family's 2925-position model. The record is from RNAcentral.